This 293-nucleotide ribosomal RNA is filed under the name uncultured Planctomycetota bacterium. RNAcentral's name for it is "uncultured planctomycete partial 16S ribosomal RNA". The record is from RNAcentral. Lineage: Bacteria; Pseudomonadati; Planctomycetota.
GGACUACCGGGGUAUCUAAUCCCGUUCGCUACCCUGGCUUUCGCGUCUCAGCGUCAGGUGGGGUCCAGGAGCCCGCUUUCGCCACGGGCGUUCCUUCCGAUCUCAACGCAUUUCACCGCUCCACCGGAAGUUCCGGCUCCCCCUACCCCCCUCCAGGCCGGUCGUAUCGGCGCCCAUUCCCCGGUUGAGCCGGGGGCUUUCAACGUCCGACGUGCCGGCCCGCCUACACGCGCUUUAAGCCCAGUGAUUCCGAAUAACGUUCGCACGGUUCGUCUUACCGCGGCGGCUGGCAC